GUCAAUGUUCAUAUCUUAAUUCGUUCACUUAAGAUCUUGGCAUUCCAUUAUUUCAUGCCAUGCUUUUUCGUUCCAAUGAAUGUAUUUUAUGUUCAAGAGUUUUUCAUUUAAGCUUUGGAAGAACUUCUAACAGAGGUAAUUUUCUAGUGAAGACAAUUUUUUUGUAUGAAAUAAUGUUGUCAAAUUGACUAUGAAUAUUUAUUGUAAUAGGGAGAAUUUUGCGGAAUUCUCUUGGAAAAUUUUAGAAGACACACAUCACUUUUUAUUUUAGUAGGCAUCUUGUGAUUAAUACUAAUAGGUGAAAAUUUUGCCAAAUUAGUUAGGUCUUGCUAAGAAAAUUUUCCUCAAAUAGCCCAUAUAAAUAUUCAUGAAAGCUCAUAAUUCAUUUACAUAUCUCUCUCCCUCUCUCUCUCAUUUUGGUGGUGAUUUCAUCAAUAUAUAUUCAAAUAAUCAUAUUUCUAAUAGAGGUGUUAACAACAUUUUAUUACAAGCUAGGGUUGUAAUUCAUCAACUAAUUGUGUAAUUUGUUUCUUGCAGAUGUCUUAUGAAUUUAACCUUAUUGUGAAUAAACCAUUUUUUAAUGUUCCUUAAGAAUUUUCAAGUAACUCAAACUUCUUAUUGAAUAAUUUCAUUUUAGCCCCUUUGAUCUCAAUAAUAUCUUCAUGGAUCAAUUUUAGGGUGUCCCAAAUUUCUUUUACAAUACUACAAUUUGAUACAUGGUAGUACUCUCUUGUUUCUAAAGCACUAUUUGUUAAGUACUUGUCUUUCAAAAAUGUAUUGCAUCUUUUUUUUCUAAGGUCUAGAGAGCUUUUGGUUUAUUCACCACUUCAUUAUUUAUGAAAUGAAUGAGAAUAAACAGGUGAUUUUUAAACAAAUCCCACACAACAAAAUCAAAAGUUGUAAGAAAUAUUUUCACUCUUCCAUUCCAUAGAAUAUAGCUUCACCAUUAAAAUGUUGAGGUUUAUUCAUGGAAAUCCCUCUUUUAAUUUUUUUUUUGAAGUCACUCUACCUCAUGAGACGAUUAUUCUUUAAACGUGAAUUAGACUCUAAUGUCACUUGUUGUCUAAUCCACUUCAAUCCCAAUAGGGAAGAUGGAUUGUGAUAUAAAUUUUUUAGAGGCUUUCAAAAAUAAAUCAAUUUUAAGGUUGAUCUUAAGAAUAUGGUAAAAGAAUAAGAGAACUACAAGUAAGUAAAGACAAAAAAAAAGACCAGAGAAGAAUACAACAAAUUUUAUCUUGGUUCUUCUCAAAACCAUGAGGCCUAUGUCUAGAUCUCAAGGAUUUACCCAUGAUACAUCCAUUAUCGUAGACUUUUUACAACAAGAUCAACUCACAACCCAUUUACAUCAAGCUUUUAUCUCAGGUUCAACUUGCAACCUUUAUUUCCAUAUAUUAAAGUAAGAAUAACAACUCUCUCUCUCUAAGUUAUAUAUCAAGACCGGUUAACACAAUAUAACUUUACUGAAGUGUUUUAUCUCUUUGCACUAAACUGUUAUUUAAGAGAAUAUUAAUUUUAAAGACAAAAAGAAUGAGUAGAUGAGAGGUUACUUUUUAUAUUUUCUAUAUUUUUUCAAGUGAUCAUAAGUCGUCAUUUUAUAGUAAAAUAUUUAGUCAAGAAAAGAAGGUCUUUAUCACCAAAUCCACACCAAAUCAAUUAGGCUAUGACAAUAAUCAAUUAUGACCUAGAAAAUUAAGAGAGUUUUUGCUAGAUCUAAAUCAUAAUAAACUAGAAGGAUUGCUUAAUCAAUUAUUGAGCAGGUUUUCCCCAUAAUUUAUUAUAAAAUUGUCAUAAUCAAGUAGAUAAUAAUUUUAUUAUAUAAUCAGUUAAUUAAGCAUUAUAAUUGAUUAGGCUUUGAUUUUCAAAAGCAUUUCAAAAACCAAGAUGUUUUUAGAAGAGAUUUUUGAAAAAUAAUGAAGUUUUAAAACAUAUUUUAUGUGUGUGUGGUAGUAUCUAAGUACUUUGAGAGCAUAUAUUUAAUUUAAAAUUAUUGAUCUUAUAAAAAUAAACAAAGAACAAAACAAAAGAUCACAAGAGAGCUUUUAACAACUGACUUUGUUUAUUCGUAAAGUUCAUUAGUUUUUUUUUAUAUUUUUUCACCAAUCACCAAAACUUAUCGCUUUUUGAUAUGUUUGAAUUUGUUUUCUCUAUUUGAUGGUGUUCAUGAUUUUUUCUUUGUUUUAUUUAUCAUCACAAUUUUUUUUACAUACUUGUUCUACAUAUAGAACAUCUUCUUUUACUGAUGUUUACAAUUUUGUUUUCCUUUAUUGUCAUCAUCAAAAUAUUUGACAUGCAUGUUCAACAUAUAAAAUAACAUAUAUUAUGGUAAUAUUGGAGAUAUAUUAACUCUUUAGAUAGCUCCACAUUUAAGAUAAAUUACAUGAAAAAUAGUCCCCUAUUGUAGUUGUCCAAGAAACUCUAGAAAUUUCAAGGAAGUGUUACAUAGAGAGUCUUAAGAUGAAAAGGUUAUGCGCUCUAGGCGUGAACACCAGAACGGUGGGCUCGGUAAUAAAACCACCAGGAGCAGCUUGUAAAGGCGAAAAGGCUUCCCCACAAGCUAUCGAGGAGAUCGAAGACUAAACACUCAUAGGGAAUUACCUCUGGCGCCAUUUUCUAUAAUAUUUUUUUUUUACCUUGCUUUUAUCUAAUUACCUUAUUGUUAAUUUUGAUUAGAUGAGUAUUACAUGUUUUCCAUUUGUAAAGUCAUGUUACUUUUAGGGGUGCACUCUUUUCCCUAUGUACCUUGUAAGGGGAAAGGGUUUUUAAUGAGGUCCCUCAUUUUUUUUGUUUGAAGAAUUUACAUUUGUUAUCUAUUUCCUUUUUUCAAGAAACAUAAAGGUUAUGGAGAA
This 2846-nucleotide long non-coding RNA is filed under the name Lathyrus oleraceus (garden pea). RNAcentral describes it as "Pisum sativum (pea) long non-coding RNA (PSAT_LNC042317)". The record is from RNAcentral. Lineage: Eukaryota; Viridiplantae; Streptophyta; Magnoliopsida; Fabales; Fabaceae.